This is a long non-coding RNA of Photinus pyralis (common eastern firefly), 1195 nucleotides long. RefSeq lists it as uncharacterized. The transcript is spliced from 2 exons. Lineage: Eukaryota; Metazoa; Arthropoda; Insecta; Coleoptera; Lampyridae. The record is from RefSeq and is a predicted model, not a curated record.
UAAACAUUAAUUGGACGUUGUGAAUCAGCUUAACACGGUGUCCGGAUUUUACUCAAAGUACUAAUUGUCGGUGGAAUAACCACAGCCAUGUCAGCUAUGGAUAAUGAAAGUUGACAUUUGAUUUUUAUUUAUUUCUCGCUCUUGUGUAUCUCAAACUAGUGAUAAACUGUGAAUAAAAACAAGACAAUAGAUUUGGUUUAUCGUCUCUUUCGAAGUAUGAAAUAACGAAAAAUUGUCAAAUGGAGUUUUCUUGGUAACAUUUUGUUAGUUGUUAUGGAGGAGGAUGAUGGCACACCAAUUGUUAAAAUCGAACCUGAACAAGAAAACGAAAUAACUUCGUCUCUUGAUGGAACUGUUUUCGUCAGCAACAAUACCCUGGUUACAAUAAAGGACGAAAUUACCUUGAGUACACAGUAUUGCCAGUUGUCUUACAAUGAAAACGAACAGCAACAAACUGAUUGCAGUUUGAGUAGUAAUUAUCCAUCUUCGAACGAUUUUAAAUGUAACUUUUGCACUUAUACAGCGGAUAGUGAAUUGCAGCUCAAACAACACCGUGAGGUUCACAAAGGCUUUAAAUGUUAUAAUUGCGAUUUCACAACAAAGAAUAAACACAACCUUAAACAACAUUGCCAGCAACGCUGUAUAGGUUAUUUGACACGUGCGAAGUGUAAUUAUGGAACUAACCAAAAGUCCCACUCCCAAACACACCUUGUGACACAAGUAUCAAAAGGUUUCAAAUUAAUUAAUUACAAUGACCGGACAAAGAGUAAAGAUAACUUUAGGCAAAAGGUUGCUAUUAAUUUUAUGUGUGCCAAGUGUGAUUAUGGAACCAACAAGAAAAACCACUUCGUAACACACCAGGUGACACAUGUUAAAAAAGACUUGAAAUGUAUUAAUUAUAAUUACAGGCAAAGUUUUAGGCAGUCUUUAAGCAACAGGGUCUCUAUUAAUUAUAAAUGUGCCAAUUGUAAUUACGGAACCCAUAAUAAACACCAUCUCGAAAAACACGUUUUGACACACAUGUUUCAAACGACUAACUUUACCUAAUAAUUAAGAUUAUUCCGGUAGUACUAACAUAACAUAACAAAUGUUUUGUUUAUUGUUUGCGAUUUGUUAGUUUUAAGGUACCUGCCUACUGUUAAGGUCUUGUAAUAAGUUUAAUUUGUAACUGUAAGUAUAUGUACUCUUGACUCAA